CUCUGUUACAACUGUAGCGGGAGACCCCCAUAAGGCUAUGGUUCUGGGGUCUACCCACUGAGAACAGAAAUUCAUGGUGAUUUCGGAUCGCGGUGGACAGUUCAUUGCCGUAACAGCCUAAUGAAACUGGAGAUUCGGACCCUGACACCGGGGAAGGACCCUGUCCAGAAGACCCCUGUCCGGAAGACUCUUGCCCACAAGACCCCUGUCCUGAAGAUCCGGUCGUGCCAGAUGACAACGGAGCUGGCGGAGGAGGUGGGGAACUGGAACGUCCUACGGGGCCCGCUUCCCCUAUAGUACCACCACCCAUGACCCAAGAGAGUGAGCCACCAGUUGUACCGAGAGGGAGCACACCGCAAAUUAUCCCGGGGAUGAGUGCGACGGGAAGAGGCACCCCCCCGGCCACACCAAACGCCGGGGCCAAGAGGGCCAAUCCCUGGAGGAACUCCAGUACCUCUUCAGCCCAUUUCUCCUCAUCCAUCUCCGUUGGACCUGACAGAGUGACCCCCGUGGCUUGACCUGUACCACCAGUUUGCCUUUGCCGCAGUUUAGUAUUGAUGUUGUGUUUAAUAAAGCAGCCCAUAGUUCCAA
Molecule: long non-coding RNA, 591 nt
Organism: Eublepharis macularius
Lineage: Eukaryota; Metazoa; Chordata; Lepidosauria; Squamata; Eublepharidae
Exons: 2
Source: RefSeq, a predicted model, not a curated record